GUCCUUUUGUUUAUUUAUUUAAGGUCUGACCUGCCCAAUGAGGAAUUCAAUGGCCGCAGUAUUUUAACUGUGCUAAGGUAGCAUAAUCAUUUGUCUUUUAAUUGAGGGCUGGAAUGAAAGGUUGGACGAGAUAUAGACUUUCUUUAAUUUAAUUUUAAGAAUUUAAUUUUUGAGUUAAAAAGCUUAAAUUUGUUUGUUGGACGAGAAGACCCUAUAGAUCUUUAUAAUUUUAUAUUUUAAUAAUUUGGUGGUUAUGUUUAUUAUAAGUAGAAUAAUUAUUUGGUUGGGGUGACUGUAGAAUUUUAUUAACUUCUAUUGUUUAGAUUUCAUUAAUUGGUGUUUUUUUGAUCCAUAUUUUUAUGAUUAAAAGAUUAAGUUACCUUAGGGAUAACAGCGUAAUUUUUUCGGAGAGUUCAUAUUGAUGAAGAAGUUUGCGACCUCGAUGUUGGAUUAAAAUAAGUUAUGGAUGCAGGAGUCUAUAUACUAGGUCUGUUCGACCUUUAAAUUUUU
RNAcentral lists this ribosomal RNA (510 nucleotides) under Meccus pallidipennis. RNAcentral's name for it is "partial 16S ribosomal RNA". It matches the Rfam family "Bacterial large subunit ribosomal RNA", at positions 1829 to 2597 of the family's 2925-position model. Lineage: Eukaryota; Metazoa; Arthropoda; Insecta; Hemiptera; Reduviidae. The record is from RNAcentral.